Long non-coding RNA from Peromyscus leucopus (white-footed mouse), 1271 nucleotides. RefSeq lists it as uncharacterized. NCBI's taxonomy places the organism in Eukaryota, Metazoa, Chordata, Mammalia, Rodentia, Cricetidae. The transcript has 2 exons. The record is from RefSeq and is a predicted model, not a curated record.
CAAUUAGCCAUCUGCAGAGUUGCCAUUGAACUAUCAAGAAAAAGUACCCAUAGGCUAAGAACCCCUUCCAGAGGCCUUGCUGAGAAUUGGAGCCCGAAGAUCACAAGCCUGCGCUACACACCCAGCAACCAGGAAUACGCAAUAAGAGCGAAGGGGCAAAAAUGCACCGGAUUCGAACUUGAUGGUUCAAUAAAAGUGACUACUCUCUGUUCUUAGAAAAAACAAGAUGACACAGCCGCAGAAGACGAUGCUGGUGCUGCCGAGGAGGGAGACAGGAGGAAACCACUACAGGAGCCAAGGAAGGAGCUAGUGAAACCACAGGUCAGUGUGGGUGGAGCACACACCUGUAUGCUGCAGAGGCUUGACUGCUACCAGGAGUGGGGUACAUCGAGGUGUAACACAGCAAGAAAGGAGCACUUGCUUUAGAGCCAAAAUAUCCAGAUUGGAACCCAUGAUACUGACUAGCUGUGUGACGCUGGGCCAAGCAGUCAACCUCUCUGAGUUCAUUUUCCUGUCUUCCAAAAGAGGAAACCUAAUCAGUUUUGCCUAUGUUAAGUCUUUUCUUGAACUGCCAAAGAUGAUAUCUUCGAGAGCCUUCUGAAUGACUCGAACCUCACUGGUGGCUUUUCAGGAAACAAAAGGCCAGAGAUCUUUCUGCUUGGUGGCCUUCCAGAGAGGAGUCAAUUGCUGCCCCUCCCCCUUUCAGCUGUUGGGGCUGUGGAUCAAUUGCAACCAAGCUAAACAAACAAACAAAAAGGUAGUCAUACAUGAUCAGCAAAAUGGUACAAAUGAUGUCAUCCAUCACGAUGGACAUCCCAAUUUGCCAACUAUUUUCUCAUAAAUCAAACUGUGGUCCCUGAAGGAAAAGGGGCAGGGCUGGGGGAGCCAGCAUGGCAGGGCUUAUCGGAGGACCAGACGCAGGGAAGCGCUCCCUGAAGGGUUCAGUAAUUAUUUUCACUCGAUGGGAAAUAAAGAGGGGCACCAUGGGAGGGAGGCUGGAGAGUGUCCGCCUCACUUCAUUACAGCUCCCCGGGCAAGGGACACAACAUAUGCUUUUCAUUGGAAAGCCAAUAAUUCUGAAUCGUGGGACAGGUGAAAACUUAAAUGACAUUUGCAAACCUUGAUUUAUUUCUCUGCUUAACUCUGGAACAUGCUUGAGACUCAGCCCUGCAAGUUUCCAUAGAUUAGUGGUCAAUGUCAAGUAUUUUCAAUGACAUAUUCAAGUGUUUCCUGUCCCUAUCAGUUAAUUAAAUAUUUUCAGUUCUAAUAUC